Molecule: long non-coding RNA, 1472 nt
Filed under: Canis lupus familiaris (dog)
Lineage: Eukaryota; Metazoa; Chordata; Mammalia; Carnivora; Canidae
Description: lncRNA (ENSCAFG00040016898.1)
Source: RNAcentral
AGAGAGAGAGAGAGAGACUGGGGCAGGGGGCAGAGGGAGAGAGGGAAUCCUAAGCUGAUUCCCCAACUGAGCGAGCGCAGAGCCCGAUGCGGGGCUGGACCCUGGGCUCUGAGAUCAGGACCCAGGCUGUAACCAAGGGUCGGACACCCAGCCGGUGAGCCACCCCGGCGCCCUCGGCAUCCUAUUUUUGUAUCCUGAGAUUGUCGCAUCAAGAAGGCAGAUCCUCUCCUGUGUGCCCCUCAUUGCUAAAGCGAUCGUACCUUGCUCCCAGGUAGCUCCCCAUUCCUCGUCUGUCCUAGUUCUCGCUCCCGCUCCCCUGUACAGCUUUCUCCGUUGCUCUUGUUCUUGGAGAUCAAGAAGGACAACAGGGAAAUGGUGAGAAAAAGUACUUUAGUCUUUGUCUAGCACAGACUUCAGUGGGCUUGUCCCCAUCUCAUAGUGGUCUCUGCCCAGCAUCCUUCUCGAAGCAUGCUUCUCACCCUCCCUGAGCCAGAAGCCCCGACUUGUUUUGUUUUUUAAGAUUUUAUUUUUUUAUUCAUGAGAUACACAGAGAGAGGCAGAGACACAGGCAGAGGGAGAAGCAGUCCGAUGCGGGACUCGAUCCCUGGACCCUGGGAUCCUAACCUGAGCCGAAGGCAAAUGCUCAACCGCUGAGCCACCCAGGGGCCCCCAGAAGCCCUGAGUUUUAACCCAGCUUUGCUGCUUCCUUACUGAUUUCUGUCUGGAACAUGGGCUCUCGAAACCUGCCUCGCCUGUGAGAGCCCAUGAGGAGAGGCGGAUGUGGAAGUAGAAAGCCCACCACAGGUACGAUGCUGGCUUAGAAGCAAGCAUAGCACCCCUGCUCUCUGGGCACCAGCUGCCAGGCUUGACCGUGCAGGCGGGCCCCACGCCCCACUUCCUAGCAGGUGCGGCCGCAGGGGCCGGCCUGCAGCUGCAGCCCAGGUCUGUGGGAGAUCCGGGCAGAGAAUUACAGGUGCACACCCAAGCCCAUAUGUGCCGAAGACCCUCGGUCCAAGACUUUCCAUAAGCCACAGGUCCCUGGUGCUUGCCGCCACCCCCACACAGUCUGCCGGCCUAGACUAUGCCCCCGCGACUGUGUUAACUGUAUGUGAGGUAUCCUACAGAAAAGACCUGAUCUCCGAAUGGAUCAGACUGUGAGAAGACAAUGUAUGGCCUCUACGAUAUUUUUCAUUUGCCUGAACCCCAAGAGGCCAAGCCCUGGAUUUGUCUUGUUUUCUACUUUGUCUCCAGGGCCCGGCGCAUAAUAGGCACCAAAGAUUUCUGGAAGAAGAACGCAUUGCCAUGGCAGCUUAUCUCCUCUACAGGGUAGUAAAUGGAAAUUGAGAUAUGGGGUGGGAAUGAAUUAGGUUCUUAUGCUGGGAGGAGAGCUCGAAUACAGAAGGGGAGGCAGGUUGUAUUCCGAUCAAGGAGGAUCCAAGUUUCCCCUGUAAUUUCAGUGUGAGCGGGAUUCU